GUAUAUACAGACCCAUGUUUUCUACUUGCUUUUUGUUGUUGUUCAGAGAAGGAUCACUGGGUCUGGGGCAAUCAGAGAAGACCUCAUGAGGACUGGAAAAUCUUAUUUCUUGAAGUUCAAGCUCAAGUAUCAACAAGGAAGAAAAUGCCAAAUAGAAGGAAUGAUAUGAGCGAAGGAGGUGUGAAGGACAAGUUCCAUGACAGCAAGAACUUCAUUUCAUUCACUGCUCUGUCCUCAGUGCCUAGUUCAGUGCCUGACACAUUGCAGCUUCUAGAUAAGUAUGGAAAGG
This 289-nucleotide long non-coding RNA is filed under the name Pan troglodytes (chimpanzee). RNAcentral's name for it is "long non-coding RNA NONPTRT005626". Lineage: Eukaryota; Metazoa; Chordata; Mammalia; Primates; Hominidae. The record is from RNAcentral.